CAGCAGCCACGGUAAAACGAAGGGUGCAAGCGUUACUCGGAAUUACUGGGCGUAAAGCGUGCGCAGGCGGUUUGUUAAGACAGAUGUGAAAUCCCCGGGCUCAACCUGGGAACUGCAUUUGUGACUGGCAAGCUAGAGUGUGGCAGAGGGGGGUGGAAUUCCGCGUGUAGCAGUGAAAUGCGUAGAUAUGCGGAGGAACACCGAUGGCGAAGGCAGCCCCCUGGGCCAACACUGACGCUCAUGCACGAAAGCGUGGGGAGCAAACAGGAUUAGAUACCCCGGUAGUCCCUGUCUCUUAUAC
This 301-nucleotide ribosomal RNA is filed under the name uncultured bacterium. RNAcentral's name for it is "partial 16S ribosomal RNA". It matches the Rfam family "Bacterial small subunit ribosomal RNA", at positions 509 to 807 of the family's 1533-position model. The record is from RNAcentral.